AACGAACGCUGGCGGCGUGCUUAACACAUGCAAGUCGAACGCGAAAGUUUUCUUCGGAAAACGAGUAGAGUGGCGCACGGGUGAGUAACGCGUAAGUAAUCUACCCUGGCAUCUGGGAUAACCCACCGAAAGGUGUGCUAAUACCGGAUACGUUGAUUUAUCAAGAAAGGUGGCCUCUUCAUGAAAGCUACCGUGCUAGGAGGAGCUUGCGUACCAUUAGCUAGUUGGUGGGGUAACGGCCUACCAAGGCGACGAUGGUUAGCGGGGUCUGAGAGGAUGAUCCGCCACACUGGAACUGGAACACGGACCAGACUCCUACGGGAGGCAGCAGUGAGGAAUAUUGCGCAAUGGGGGGAAAACCCUGACGCAGCGACGCCGCGUGGAUGAUGAAGGCCUUCGGGUCGUAAAAUCCUGUCAGAUGGGAAGAAAUGCCAUAUCGCUAAUAUCGUUAUGGUUUGACGGUACCAUCAAAGGAAGCACCGGCUAACUCCGUG
RNAcentral lists this ribosomal RNA (494 nucleotides) under uncultured bacterium. RNAcentral describes it as "bacterial SSU rRNA". It matches the Rfam family "Bacterial small subunit ribosomal RNA", at positions 29 to 507 of the family's 1533-position model. The record is from RNAcentral.